RNAcentral lists this long non-coding RNA (468 nucleotides) under Anas platyrhynchos platyrhynchos (common mallard). RNAcentral describes it as "lncRNA (ENSAPLG00000016528.1)". Lineage: Eukaryota; Metazoa; Chordata; Aves; Anseriformes; Anatidae. The record is from RNAcentral.
UUAAGGUAUAGGGAAGCUUGUUUCUGAGCACUGGGUUGGAAUAGGUAAUGUCUUCAUAUGUCUUCCACAUUUGCUUUGUAGGUUUGUGAUGGUAAGCAGACCUAAGCCACAAGGUUCUGAUACAGAUUCAAAAAGUAAUGAUACUUUGGGCUAAAGGAACAAGGCCUCCACUGGGGACAUUUUGAGGAACGAGCACAGAGUGUGAUAUGCUUGCCCAUCCUGGAGGAGAACUUGCAAAUGCCUGCUCCCCCAGCAGCUGGAGGGCUAGUAAGAAUGCGUGGAGGACAACAGUGGCACCUUCCCUGUCAGCACAGGCAAAACCAUUUCAGAAAGCUCUCAUGUGUGCUGCUACCAGGAUGAAUGAAGGAGGGCAGAAGGGGUGAAGAGAGCUGAGGAACAGCAGAAAGAAGCAGUUUAUACAACAGAUAAAAAGCCAAAUAAAGUGUGUGCAGACUCAAUAAAUCUGCA